AAUUUGAGUGUUCAAAGCAGGCCUUUGCUCGGAUAUAUUAGCAUGGAAUAAUAGAAUAGGACGCAUGGUUCUAUUUUGUUGGUUUCUAGGACCAUCGUAAUGAUUAAUAGGGACGGUCGGGGGCAUCAGUAUUCAGUCGUCAGAGGUGAAAUUCUUGGAUUGACUGAAGACUAACUACUGCGAAAGCAUUUGCCAAGGACGUUUUCAUUAAUCAAGAACGAAAGUUAGGGGAUCGAAGAUGAUCAGAUACCGUCGUAGUCUUAACCAUAAACUAUGCCGACUAGGGAUCGGGUGGUGCUACUUUGCCCACUCGGCACCUUACGAGAAAUCAAAGUUUUUGGGUUCUGGGGGGAGUAUGGUCGCAAGGCUGAAACUUAAAGGAAUUGACGGAAGGGCACCACCAGGAGUGGAGCCUGCGGCUUAAUUUGACUCAACACGGGGAAACUCACCAGGUCCAGACGUAAUAAGGAUUGACAAGUUAGAGACUUCUCUUGAUCUUACGGGUGGUGGUGCAUGGCCGUUUUUAGUCCUUGGAGUGAUUUGUCUGCUUAAUUGCGAUAACGGACGAGACCUUAACCUGCUAAAUAGGGCUGCGAGCAUCUGCUCGGGUGCUCUUCUUAGAGGGACUAUGGGUAUCAAACCCAUGGAAGUUUGAGGCAACAACAGGUCUGUGAUGCCCUUAGACGUUCUGGGCCGCACGCGCGCUACACUGACGGAGCCAGCAAGUCCAACCUUGGUCGAGAGGCCCGGGUAAUCUCGUGAAACUCCGUCGUGCUGGGGAUAGAGCAUUGUAAUUUUUGCUCUUCAACGAGGAAUUCCUAGUAAGCGCAAGUCAUCAGCUUGCGUUGAUUACGUCCCUGCCCUUUGUACACACCGCCCGUCGCUACUACCGAUUGAAUGGCUUAGUGAGGCUUCAAGAUUGGCGCCGCGGGAGGGGCAACUUUCCCAUGGGGCCGAGAAUCUAGUCAAACUUGGUCAUUUAGAGGUCGUAAAAGUCGUAACAAGGUUUCCGUAGGUGAACCUGCGGAAG
Molecule: ribosomal RNA, 1030 nt
Filed under: Pichia kudriavzevii
Lineage: Eukaryota; Fungi; Ascomycota; Pichiomycetes; Pichiales; Pichiaceae
Description: SSU rRNA
Rfam family: Eukaryotic small subunit ribosomal RNA
Source: RNAcentral